UUGAAAGGGAAACGAUUGAAGUCAGUCGUACCAACGGAAAAUCAGCUCUUCGAGUGCGGACUUGUGGGUUACGUGAGCUUUACGGCCUCGUUGUUUGCAAUGUUCGUUCUUUUUGGGUGUACUUUUUCGUGUGGUAGGCCAACAUCAGUUUCGAUCGCUAUAAAAUGACCGGCGGAAUGUAGCUUCGAUCUCGUAUUGAAGUGUUAUAGCCUCUGGUAGAUGUGGUGAUUGGGACUGAGGAUUGCAACGAAUAUCCUUUGGGCUAUCCGUCUGAUCUCUGAAAGUUGCUUAGGUGCCGAAAGCAUGCUUACGGUUAUUUAAGUUGACGGUCAAAAGGUUAGAACGUGAUUAUAUUCGUUAAGGAUGUUGACGUA
This 374-nucleotide ribosomal RNA is filed under the name uncultured Glomeromycotina. RNAcentral describes it as "LSU rRNA". Lineage: Eukaryota; Fungi; Glomeromycota. The record is from RNAcentral.